RNAcentral lists this ribosomal RNA (752 nucleotides) under uncultured bacterium. Its description in RNAcentral is "bacterial SSU rRNA". It matches the Rfam family "Bacterial small subunit ribosomal RNA", at positions 8 to 796 of the family's 1533-position model. The record is from RNAcentral.
AGAGUUUGAUCCUGGCUCAGGAUGAACGCUGGCGGCGUGCCUAAUACAUGCAAGUCGAGCGGUAAGGCCCCUUCGGGGGUACACGAGCGGCGGACGGCUGAGUAACACGUAGGAACGUACCCCAAAGUGAGGAAUAAGCACCAGAAAUGGUGUCUAAUACCGCAUGUGGCCCUCGGGCUAAAGCUCCGGCGCUUUGGGAACGGCCUGCGUAUGAUUAGUUUGUUGGUGAGGUAAUGGCUCACCARGACUACGAUCAUUAGCUGGUCUGAGAGGAUGAUCAGCCAGACUGGGACUGASAACGGCCCAGACUCCUACGGGAGGCAGCAGUAGGGAAUUUUCCACAAUGGGCGAAAGCCUGAUGGAGCAACGCCGCGUGCAGGAUGAAUGCCUUCGGGUUGUAAACUGCUUUUAUAUGUGACGAUAAUGACGGUAGCAUAUGAAUAAGGAUCGGCUAACUCCGUGCCAGCAGCCGCGGUCAUACGGAGGAUCCAAGCGUUAUCCGGAAUUACUGGGCGUAAAGAGUUGCGUAGGUGGCAUAGUAAGUCAGUUGUGAAAGCGUGUGGCUCAACCAUACUCACAUUGCUGAAACUACUAAGCUAGAGGAUGAGAGAGGUUAUUGGAAUUCCCAGUGUAGGAGUGAAAUCCGUAGAUAUUGGGAGGAACACCGAUGGCGUACGCAGAUAACUGGCUCAUUCCUGACACUAAUGCACGAAAGCGUGGGUAGCAAACGGGAUUAGAUACCCCGGUAGUCC